UAAUCUGACCACUUACCACCCCAUCAGUCUACUUUCAAUCAUCAAAUUGUUCGACGUGUCUUUGACAGUGCUGUCAGUGGCACUUACUGAGCAAUAACUUGCUCAAUGGCGAUAAGGUUAGGUGUUACCAGACUCCAAACUUAAUAUGGCCUUGGACCAAACAUGAUCCAAAGAGCUGAAAUCAAAAUGUUAGCAAUGAAUGACUGCUUUUGACAUCAAGGCAGCAUUUGACUGAGUGUUAUAUCAAGGAGACCUUGCAAAAUUUAAUUCGUUGGGAAUCCGUGGAAACUGCCCACUGGUUUGGCAUAUCUAGCACAGAAGAAGGUGAGUUUGAUUGUAGCAGACUGAUCAUCUGAGUUCAAGGACAAGCAGGUGGCGAUGGCAUCCUCGAACUUCUCAAGUGCCUUCCUUACCAAUGAACCUGUUUUGGAGAAAUCAUUUGGGUUUGUAAGUUCUGGAGUUGACACUGAUGGUCUGAAGUUUGGCUGAACCUGGUUUUCCACUGCCCCAUUUGUUGGAACCUCUUUGAAUACCAUGUUACACAACAAAAACAAAUUUGCUAUUCUUUAGCUUCUCUAGAUGCUGCUUCGUAGAAUCGUUGAAUCCUUACAGUGCUGAAAAAGGCCAUUUGGCCCAUCAAGUCUGGACCAGCCCUGCAAGAACAGUCACAGUCAUCGUUGACCUGAAUAAGGGACAGAUGUUGAUACUGAGUCUGUACAGAGGACACUCGGGCUGAUACCUGGUCUGAUUGGAGAGUCACACCAACUUUGGGUCUGAACAGAGGGCAUCUCGUCUGAAAAGAAGAUGGUUACACUGAUCCUGAGUUUAAAUAGGGGCAAUCACAGUGUUCCUGGGUCUAAAUAGAGGACACUCACACUGAUACUGGGUCUGUAUAGAGGACACUCUGGCUGAUACCGGUAUGAUUCGACAUGCACUGAUAUUGUGUUUUUACAGAGGAUCCUCACAUCAGUACUAGAUUAUAUUCCCUCCCUUCUUGCAUUUUUCUCCUCAUUUCCCUUUCCUCAUUGCAAGUGAAUUUAAUGAAUUGUGGAGAAAAAAAAUUAGAUUGGUUACAUUUAUGAACGCCAGACUGUCUUGUAGAAUUGGUUGGAGAACCCACUACUUAAAAAUAUGUUGUUCCUUUGUGAGGCAACAAGACACAACAUGGCAUAGAGAAAAAGACUUAAAGAAAUUAAAAUAAAGUAUGAGGGAGCUUUUUUCAGCUUAUCAAAUGCAGGGGAAGUAUCAGGGACUUGAAGAAAACCAAACAUAAUUCACUGAGUCAGAAGUGGUUAGCUUGACAUCUAUGAUUAGAGUGUAUGUUAUAAAUAGGAACUUGCCAGUAAUGAGACUGAAUGUGACAUUUUUAACUUUCUAUUGCUCUUUGCUCGAUUUUGCUGGGCUGUAGCAGAAAGCAGGAGACAUAUCUUUAAUCCAAGGUGUUGCCAGUUUUGUUAUUUGUUUCUUGAGAAGCAUGAACAUAGUAGUGAUUUGAUCAAAAUUUUUAACAUGAUCAAGAGAAUACAUUGACAGUUUAUUCAUUGUUAGUUUAUUCAACUAAAUCAGCUUUUUUAAAUUCAUUUGUGGAAUGUAAGUGUUGCUGGUUGGCCAGCAUUAAUUGCCCAUCCCUAGAUGCUUUUGAACUGAGUGGCUUGCUAGGCCAUUUCAGAGGAUAAUUAAGAGUCAACUGCAUUGCUAUGGAUCUGGAGUCACAUGGGCCAGAUCACGUGAGAAUGGCAGAUUUCCUUCCCUGAGAAAUAUUACUGAACCAGAUUUUUUUUUGCGACAAUUAGCAAUGCUUUCAUGGUCAUCAGUAGAUUAUUAAUUCCAGAGGUUUUUUUAUUGAAUUGAAUCUGCCAUGGUGGGAUUUGAACCCGGGUCCCCAGAGCAUUAGCUGAGUUUCUGUAUUAAUAGUCUAGCAAUAAUAUCACUAGGCCAUCAGUUAUGGAAUACCAUGAGUCACAAUUUCAAGUUUUAUAAAGCCUGAAUAGGUUGUUCAGGAGAUUGUUCUUUUUUCAGAGCAUAAUGAACCUCUGAAACAGAUUGCCAUCUUAUCUGGUGGAAGCUGGACAUGUUCCUUGCUUCGGUAAAGAUCACCUUGUACAAAAACUAAAUUGAGUAUUCCAUUACUCAGGGCAAUUGUAAUUUCUUGAAUUAGUUUGUUUGCCUAUGGGCUUCUGAGAGACAUUUUCCAUGAUUUCUUCCCUAAAUAGAUCCAGGGAUUGUGUCACUUUAUAUGCAUCUUUCAGGAAAUCACAUGGGAUAUGGAAUCUAUUUAUGGUGAUGUUCAAGAAUUAUAUUUAACAUGGAAACAGAACAAUAAGAAACAUUUGAACUUCUUUACAUGUCUGCAAAAUAUAUAAUUGAUUUUAAAAAUGUUUGAAAUCACCUUUUAAUUCUUGAGUAUCAAUUGUGAAGAAAUCAAUAGUAGUUUUCUUGAAUAAUAUGAAAUCUUGGCCGAUGUGACCUGCAACCCCUUGACCUGGAAGCUAUACCAACAGGAAGUUAACAUAGAAACAUUGUGUGGUUGGUAGACACAAAGCAGUGCUCCAAGCAAAUGAGAGGUUCAGCAAGAGAAGAACAAAGAAGGUACAUUUUCAAUGAGCUGUUUAUGUAAUUCUGGUAAAAUGUAUGUAGUGAUUAUAAUGAGGUCAGCCAGGUGGACCUCAUAGAAUAUGCGUUCCCUGAUUGGGGCUGUUAAUCUGGUCCAGUCAGCAAGCUUAGCUGACAGAUAAAAACAGGAGUGUCAUAUACUCUGACACCCUGGGAGUUGACUGACGAGGCUGUACCAGAGUAAAGGAUUUCCUAAUUAUAAAUAAAGAGUGACUUUGCAAUGA
This is a long non-coding RNA of Rhincodon typus (whale shark), 2837 nucleotides long. RefSeq lists it as uncharacterized. The transcript is spliced from 2 exons. The record is from RefSeq and is a predicted model, not a curated record. Lineage: Eukaryota; Metazoa; Chordata; Chondrichthyes; Orectolobiformes; Rhincodontidae.